This 397-nucleotide ribosomal RNA is filed under the name uncultured bacterium. RNAcentral's name for it is "bacterial SSU rRNA". It matches the Rfam family "Bacterial small subunit ribosomal RNA", at positions 362 to 776 of the family's 1533-position model. The record is from RNAcentral.
UAUUGCACAAUGGGGGGAACCCUGAUGCAGCGACGCCGCGUGAGCGAUGAAGUAUUUCGGUAUGUAAAGCUCUAUCAGCAGGGAAGAAGAUGACGGUACCUGACUAAGAAGCCCCGGCUAACUACGUUCCCGCAGCCGCGGGAAUACGUAGGGGGCAAGCGUUAUCCGGGUUUACUGGGUGUAAAGGGAGCGUAGACGGCGAUGCAAGCCUGGAGUGAAAGGCGGGGGCUCAACCCCCGGACUGCUUUGGGAACUGCAUGGCUGGAGUGUCGGAGAGGCAGGCGGAAUUCCUAGUGUAGCGGUGAAAUGCGUAGAUAUUAGGAGGAACACCAGUGGCGAAGGCGGCCUGCUGGACGAUGACUGACGUUGAGGCUCGAAAGCGUGGGGAGCAAACAGG